This is a long non-coding RNA of Rhinopithecus roxellana (golden snub-nosed monkey), 285 nucleotides long. RefSeq lists it as uncharacterized. The record is from RefSeq and is a predicted model, not a curated record. Lineage: Eukaryota; Metazoa; Chordata; Mammalia; Primates; Cercopithecidae. The transcript is spliced from 3 exons.
GUCGCAACGGAACCCUGCAACAAGUCGCAACGGAACCCUCGAAAAUGAAGGAGAAGAGACUGCACAGUCAGUAAAUCAAUCAGGCUGAAGAAUCACUAUGAGGGAGAACUGAGAAAUAAGACCAUUUGCAUCAACAGGAAUUUGAACUUUCCUACAGAUCAAUUUAUUGGACAUAAUCUGGUGACCUGGGAAUCUGGUGGCCUGAGAAAACUGCUCACUUAUCAAACAGGGGCUUCUAUUUUAAGAUUUGAUUCGAGACCUUCACUGUGCUAUGUCUACCAAUCC